CGCGUAGGCGGGAUGGCAAGUCGGUCGUGAAAUCCUUCGGCUCAACCGAAGAACGUCGAUCGAUACUGCUGUUCUUGAGGGUUGCAGAGGAGACUGGAAUUCCCGGUGUAGCGGUGAAAUGUGUAGAGAUCGGGAGGAACACCGGUGGCGAAGGCGGGUCUCUGGGCAAUCCCUGACGCUGAGGCGCGAAAGCGUGGGGAGCAAACGGGAUUAGAUACCCCGGUAGUCCACGCUGUAAACGAUGACGACUAGGUGUGGGGGGGUUCAGUCCCCUCCGUGCCGCAGCUAACGCAUUAAGUCGUCCGCCGUGGGGAGUACGGCCGCAAGGUUGAA
Molecule: ribosomal RNA, 333 nt
Filed under: uncultured bacterium
Lineage: Bacteria
Description: bacterial SSU rRNA
Rfam family: Bacterial small subunit ribosomal RNA
Source: RNAcentral